RNAcentral lists this ribosomal RNA (360 nucleotides) under uncultured bacterium. RNAcentral's name for it is "bacterial SSU rRNA". It matches the Rfam family "Bacterial small subunit ribosomal RNA", at positions 29 to 380 of the family's 1533-position model. The record is from RNAcentral.
AACGAACGCUGGCGGCGCGCCUAAUACAUGCAAGUCGAGCGAGAAGACGUAGCAAUACGUUUGUAAAGCGGCGAACGGGUGAGGAAUACAUGGGUAACCUACCCUCGAGUGGGGAAUAACUAGCCGAAAGGUUAGCUAAUACCGCGUACGCUCCUUGGACUUCGGUUCAGGGAGGAAAGCGAUACCGUGGGUAUCGCGCUCUUGGAUGGGCUCAUGUCCUAUCAGCUUGUUGGUGAGGAACGGCUCACCAAGGCUUCGACGGGUAGCUGGUCUGAGAGGACGAUCAGCCACACUGGCACUGCGACACGGGCCAGACUCCUACGGGAGGCAGCAGUAAGGAAUAUUGCGCAAUGGGCGAAA